UACGGAGGGUGCAAGCGUUAUCCGGAUUCACUGGGUUUAAAGGGUGCGUAGGUGGCUUUGUAAGUCAGUGGUGAAAUGCCGCAGCUCAACUGCGGAACUGCCAUUGAUACUGCUUAGCUUGAAUCACGUCGAGGUGGAUGGAAUAUUACAUGUAGCGGUGAAAUGCUUAGAUAUGUAAUAGAACACCGAUUGCGAAGGCAGUUCACUAGGCGUGUAUUGACACUGAGGCACGAAAGCGUGGGGAUCGAACAGG
Molecule: ribosomal RNA, 253 nt
Filed under: uncultured bacterium
Lineage: Bacteria
Description: partial 16S ribosomal RNA
Rfam family: Bacterial small subunit ribosomal RNA
Source: RNAcentral